CCUACGUGAGGCAGCAGUGGGGAAUAUUGCGCAAUGGGCGAAAGCCUGACGCAGCGACGCCGCGUGAGGGAUGAAGGUCUUCGGAUCGUAAACCUCUGUCAGCAGGGAAGAACGGUCACUGUGCUAAUCAGCAGUGAAUUGACGGUACCUGCAAAGGAAGCACCGGCUAACUCCGUGCCAGCAGCCGCGGUAAUACGGAGGGUGCGAGCGUUAAUCGGAAUUACUGGGCGUAAAGCGCUCGUAGGCGGUAUGUCAAGUCAAGGGUGAAAUCCCCGCGCUCAACGUGGGAACGGCCUUUGAAACUGGCAAACUGGAGUGUGUGAGAGGAUAGUGGAAUUCCAGGUGUAGGAGUGAAAUCCGUAGAUAUCUGGAGGAACAUCAGUGGCGAAGGCGACUAUCUGGCACAUAACUGACGCUGAGGAGCGAAAGCGUGGGUAGCAAACAGGAUUAGAUACCCCAGUAGUC
RNAcentral lists this ribosomal RNA (465 nucleotides) under uncultured bacterium. Its description in RNAcentral is "partial 16S ribosomal RNA". It matches the Rfam family "Bacterial small subunit ribosomal RNA", at positions 338 to 795 of the family's 1533-position model. The record is from RNAcentral.